AUACGGGGGGUGCAAGCGUUACUCGGAAUCACUGGGCGUAAAGAGCGUGUAGGCGGAUUGGUAAGUUGGAUGUGAAAGCCUAUGGCUCAACCAUAGAAUUGCUUCCAAAACUGCUAGUCUAGAGUGUGGGAGAGGUAGAUGGAAUUUCGGGUGUAGGGGUAAAAUCCGUAGAGAUCAGAAGGGAUACCGAUUGCGAAGGCGAUCUACUGGAACAUAACUGACGCUGAGACGCGAAAGCGUGGGGAGCAAACAGGAUUAGAUACCCUGGUAGUCCACGCCCUAAACGAUGUACACUAGUUGUUGUGAGGCUUGACCUUGCAGUAAUGCAGUUAACACAUUAAGUGUACCGCCUGGGGAGUACGGUCGCAAGAUUAAA
This 376-nucleotide ribosomal RNA is filed under the name uncultured bacterium. RNAcentral's name for it is "bacterial SSU rRNA". It matches the Rfam family "Bacterial small subunit ribosomal RNA", at positions 523 to 898 of the family's 1533-position model. The record is from RNAcentral.